RNAcentral lists this transfer RNA (77 nucleotides) under Holosporales bacterium. Its description in RNAcentral is "tRNA-Arg". It matches the Rfam family "tRNA". From Rfam's summary of the family: Transfer RNA (tRNA) molecules are approximately 80 nucleotides in length. Lineage: Bacteria; Pseudomonadati; Pseudomonadota; Alphaproteobacteria; Holosporales. The record is from RNAcentral.
GCGCCCGUAGCUCAAUUGGAUAGAGCGCCAGACUACGGAUCUGGAGGUUAGGGGUUCAAAUCCUCUCGGGCGCGCCA